Molecule: small RNA, 68 nt
Organism: Streptomyces tsukubensis
Lineage: Bacteria; Bacillati; Actinomycetota; Actinomycetes; Kitasatosporales; Streptomycetaceae
Rfam family: ASdes TB sRNA
Source: Rfam
AGCUGAUCCGGGUCGACCGCGCGGGAAGCCAGCAGGUAGUCGCGCAUCACGAUGCCGUGCCUGCCCUC